GGAACAAGAUCAACGGCGUUACAACGACCUCAGCCGUCCACUAAGAAUUAGACGCCCACGAUCUCAGCCACCGCCAGCGCCGGCUCCGCGGUGCCCAAUUCCUCAAACCCUAGAGCCAAAUCCCCCAUUUGGCCGCGCCUAACAGAGCCGGAUUUACUCGGCGCUGGCUGGUGCGAGCGGCGAAUCGAGUCCCCUCCCGUGCACUGCUCCGCAUGUCGCACCGCGUGUACGCAUGAACUCGUCCAUGGACGAGAUCAACCUGCUACGGCAGCACCAGCGACACCAGCAGCACCACCUGUCGGUGCGCGGCAUCGGUGAGGAGAUCGACCUCGAGAUCGACCAGUGUGAAGAUCCCACUUUCUCGGGCGCCGCACUCGAGGGCGUGACCUCCCAUCACCCUCAAGACCCCGUCGUCCCUGCCGAUGACCACAAGAGCUUCCUCAUCCCGUGCUCGCAGCCUGGCUCAGUGGACGGCCAACCGCAGCCCACGCCACCGCAAGCAGAGGAACGGGCAGGGAUGCUGAGGCUGUCGGCGCAUACCAAGAAGAAGAAGAAGGUGGUCAAGAAAUGGAGGGAUGAGUGGGCGGACACAUACAAGUGGGCCUAUGUGGCCGUGCACGACAACACCAGCAGAAUCUUCUGCACCGUCUGCAAGGAGUAUGGCCGCAAGCAUCGCCGGAACCCCUAUGGGAACGAGGGGAGCAGGAACAUGCAGAUGAGUGCGCUAGAGGAGCACAACAAUAGCUUGCUGCAUAGGGAGGCGCUCCGGCUGCAGUCAGCCUCCAAGGAGAAGGUGCAAACUCCUGAGAUAGAGAGGCUGGUUUAUGUCAAAGCUUUGUCGAAAACAGCAGCUUCAAUACUUGAAUCUCUCUUCAAGAAGGACCCUUAUGAAGCUGAAUUUAUACAGUCUAUACAGGAGGUGGUUCAUUCUAUAGAACCAGUUUUGGUGAAGAACUCACAAUAUGUUCAGAUAUUGGAGCGUUUAUUAGAACCUGAGAGAUGUUUUAUCUUCAGAGUGCCAUGGGUUGAUGACAGAGGUGAAGCUCAUGUGAAUCGUGGUUUCCGUGUGCAGUUCAGUCAGGCUUUAGGUCCAUGCAGAGGUGGUCUCCGUUUCCACCCGUCCAUGAACUUAAGUGUGGCAAAGUUUCUAGCUUUUGAGCAGACUCUGAAGAAUGCUCUGUCACUAUAUAAACUUGGAGGUGCUGCUGGAGGGAGCGAUUUUGAUCCAAAGGGUAAAAGUGAAAUUGAGGUAUUCGUGUUGUAUUUUAUUUCCUCUGGGCAACAAUAUUUACUGCAUGUAAAUAUGGAUAUUUUUCCAUGCCAGGUAAUGCGCUUUUGUCAAAGUUUCAUGGAUGAGCUGUAUAGAUACUUGGGCCCUGAUCAGGAUUUUCCUGCUGAAGAUGUUGGUGUUGGUCCAAGGGAAAUGGGUUUCCUUUUUGGGCAGUACAGACGCCUUUCUGGUCAUUUUCAGGGAAAUUUUACAGGGCCUAAGAUCUUCUGGUCUGGUUCUAGUUUUAGAACAGAGGCUACUGGAUACGGGCUGGUAUUUUUUGCACGUGUUGUACUUGCUGAUAUGAAUAAGGAGCUCAAAGGAUUAAGAUGCGCGAUAAGUGGUUCAGGAAAGAUAGCAAUGCAUGUCUUGGAAAAGCUUCUGUCGUGUGAAGCUAUUCCUGUUACAGUCUCAGAUUCAGAAGGCUAUCUAUUUGAUGGAGACGGGUUUGAUUAUGUGAAAUAUACACUUAUAAGGAAUAUUAAGGCACAACAAAGGAGCCUCAAGGAAUACUUGAAAACAUUUCCACGUGCCAAAUAUAUCAAUGAUGCUAAGCCAUGGGGUGAGCAGUGUGAUAUUGCAUUCCCUUGUGCAUCACAAAAUGAGAUUGACCAGGGGGAGGCUCUUUCAAUAAUUAGCUCUGGUUGCCGUGUUCUUAUAGAAUGUUCAAACAUGCCAUGCACUGGUCAAGCAGUUGAUAUCCUAAGAAAGGCAAAAGUCCAUGUUGCUCCAGCAAAGGCAACUGCUGCUGGUAGCAGUUGGUGAACUUGAACUGAAUCCAGAGUUCAGCUUAAUGCAGUGGUCAGUAGAGGAUUUCGAGAACAAAAUACAGGAAGCAGUAAAGCAAACAUAUGACAGGUCGAUGAAAGCUGCUCAAGAAUAUGGAAUCCUGAAAGAGAACCCAGAGUCUUUGGUGCAUGGUGCAAACAUAUCGGCCUUCCUGAACAUUGCACAAGCCAUGACUGAUCAAGGAUGUGUGUAGUUAAGCGUUUUUGUUCUGUCAAGAAGCAGAAUUUGACAUCCCUGCAGGCUGCAGCCAUGAUCUCUGGUUGUACUGUGGUUGCUGCAGCCAUUUGACGUUUAUUCGUAGCCUCCCUCACAGAUCACUGUUUUACGUUUAUUGGUAGCCUCCCUCACAGAUCAAUUUUAUGUUUAGGCCUUGUCAAAGCUUUCCUCUGGUAUGAAGGAAAAGCUUAGAUCUAUUUAGAGUAUAGAAGUGUUUCCUGUUGUAGAUCCCCCAUGUAUUUAUUCAUUACUGCCAACAUCAAUGCUUGAAGAAGGAAAUGUUCCUUUUUUGUGUGAA
This is an RNA transcript of Triticum aestivum (bread wheat), 2573 nucleotides long. It is a transcript of the gene named NAD(P)-specific glutamate dehydrogenase, with no coding region annotated. The record is from RefSeq and is a predicted model, not a curated record. The transcript has 14 exons. Lineage: Eukaryota; Viridiplantae; Streptophyta; Magnoliopsida; Poales; Poaceae.